This 437-nucleotide ribosomal RNA is filed under the name uncultured bacterium. RNAcentral describes it as "partial 16S ribosomal RNA". It matches the Rfam family "Bacterial small subunit ribosomal RNA", at positions 28 to 507 of the family's 1533-position model. The record is from RNAcentral.
GAUGAACGCUGGCGGCAUGCCUAACACAUGCAAGUCGGACGGGCGGUGGUGUUUCCAGUUGCGCACGUGUGAGCAACGCGUGAGAACCUGCCCUUGGGAUGGGCACCACAGCUGGCUACGGCUGCUAAUAGCCCGCAGGCCGAGGAGCAAAAGGUGGAAUCCGCCCGAGGAGGGGCUUGCGUCUGAUUGGCUAGGUGGUGAGUCAAUAGCUUACCAAGGUGCUGAUCAGUAGUUGGUGCGAGAGGAUGAUCCGCCACACUGGGACGGGGACACGGAGCAGACACCUUCGGGAGACAGGAGUAGGGAAGUUUCCGCAAUGCCGGGUAGCCUAACGAGGCCUUCGCGCGUGAAAGUACUAUGCCCAGGGAACAAGAACUGCUUAUCCAGCAGAAGAAGCAAUGACGGUAUCUGAGGAAUAAGCAACGGCUAACUCUGUG